This 2365-nucleotide long non-coding RNA is filed under the name Ficedula albicollis (Collared flycatcher). RNAcentral describes it as "lncRNA (ENSFALG00000025347.1)". Lineage: Eukaryota; Metazoa; Chordata; Aves; Passeriformes; Muscicapidae. The record is from RNAcentral.
UUAUGUAUCAAUGUAUAUGAAAAAAAUAUUUAUUUGGUUGAUAAUACAGGAUAAAUAUACACAGUUUUCAUUACUGCAACAGACACAGCAGUAUUUAGCCACUCUGGGAUCACAGCAGUGUUGGGAGGGCUGAUUCUCAGUUUUGCCUCAGAAUGAAAAAUAGGAUAUGAUGAUUUAAAUAAAGAUUGCAUCAAUGCCCACAAUCAAGGAACCAAACUAAAAUUGUUGACAGGAAUGGAAAAAGACUGUCUGAACUAUCCCCACACCUCUAUUCCUGCCCCAAUGACCUCACUUACUGUAAUGUUUCAAACAGUUUAACUGCCACAGACUUUCACACACACCCCCCAAAAAAAAUAAUCACAGAGUGAGAGGAAGCAAAAGUUACAAAUAAUGGACUAUACUGGAUGUCUUCACUUAGCCAUCCCAGAGGCCCAGGACUAUGAAGCUUCUUUUACUGAUAAAUUCCUCCUUUAAUACAUGGUGCUUAGUUUGUUUAAACAUAAAGCACUACAUUUUCAGUAUGACUUCUUAAACUCAUGCUAGGCUGUCUCAGAUUUCCCUGCCAGUGCUUUCCCCAGCUAGGGACUCUCAAAGUAGCAGAACUCUCAUUUCUCCCUUUCAGAACUGGCUAGACUAACCAGAGAGCCACUCCUCAGUGUCAGGCCUAUGGCCAGGAUACGUCACAGAAAGAACUCAGUCACUGCAAACAUGCUCUGGGUGCAUAUCUUUCCACAGAAUGAAAGUCUGGCCCAUAAAAGAUAGUGGGGAGAAUUCAUGUAGUGAAGCUCUAAAUUCAAUCAUCUCAGUCUCCACUACAACAUCAGAAGCAACUGAAGGAGUUAUAUAUGAAGACUUCUUGAUGGCUGUUUCAUACUGGCUUACCAGUAUUGACUGCGACUCUCUCAUACCCUGCAUGGAUACCAAAUCAUCAUUUCAGGCUUCCUCCAUUUUUCUUGAAGUUAGAAACUCUGUUUGAACCUAAGAAAUUAACCAGAAGAUAGGUAGGACUAAGGAAUUAUGAUGCCUAUACUAAUAAGAGAAAAAUAAAUAUCGUCAUGCCUCUCAGAGCUGAUAAAAUCUAUUUGUGUUCAAAGUAUUAAGAGACCAUGUGAGGCAUACAGUUGGGAAGAGACAUGACAUGACUGCAGCAGUUUUUACUCUGUAUUGAGCUUAAAUAUCCUGUGAACCUAGUGGCCUUUCAGUUGGAAACACUCUGUUUAUUCUUUUUGGCCUGAGAAGCCAGCAUUCACAGCAAUUCACAGCAAGUCAUACGACUGAGCUGAUAUUUGCACUUCAUCAUCAUAAGUCAGGAAGGAUGACUCCACUUCCCGAUUGCCAAAUUUACCAUAAAUCCCAAAAAGUAACUGUGAAAAACAGAAGUUCCAGGAGCUCAGGUCUUCCCGACAAUUUAUCACAAUGGAAAACCAAAGUAGUUUACCCUUUUCCACACCCACACUCCAAAGGAAAAUAAUAUUCUACCUACUGAUCACAGAGCUCUGCCAGCUGGUCAAACCAUUCUAUUGUUCUACUCUGGAUUGCUUUUCUUGUUGGGUUUUAGUCUUGGAGAAAAUUCAUCACAGAAAAAAAAACCAUGAAAAAAGUUCCCUUUCACUUACGUUCAAAGAACAUAUAUGCUUAGGCCAAUAGGAAGUUUAGACCCAUGAUUAGAGUUUAAUACAGCAUCUUCUCAGAUGGCAAGCUCAGAAAAGACUAGUUUGUCCCACCUGGUCCCUUCAUGAGUCUCCUUACAUAAUUUUCCUUUAAUUACUAUUGCAAAUUAUGGAGCAAUUUGGUAUGGAGCAUGCAUCCACAGGCACUAGAGUAUCUGAGUAUCACACAGACUUGAUAGGAUGCAUGGCAUUCCUAAAUACUUUUAAUUGAAUGUAGAAAAAAAAGAAAAAAAUAUAUCACUUCCUCUGGUAGAAAAUAAACAAUUUAAAACAUAUGCUUUGCUUUUUCAGCUUGAAUACUCCAAUGCAUGAAGAUCAGCAUCUUUGGGAAUUCCUGUUUCUGGCCACUGUGGGACAGAAAGUGAAGCAUGCAUGUUUCAUGCUUGCAUGUUUAACCCACAAUAAGAUUUCUACAAAUGUAUGCAUCGUAUAAUAGCCACAUAUCCAUCCAGAUUCUGUCCCUUAUUACAAGGCUGGAGCUUCCUGAAGCUUGGUUGAAGCCAUCCCUCAACUCCAACUAAAUAAACAGCUAAUUAUAGCCAUAUAAUGAUGAGUGACAGACUUGCAAAGGAAGACUAUUGAAAAAAAAAUAAAAUUAGUGGAUAAAUAAACGCUCAAUUUCACUGAGAAAGCAUUCAGUUUUAUUGCAAGCUGUUGACUCAGUAUUUUAAUACUGAACAGAAAUGGCAUGUGGA